GGGCUGCUGGGAGAUUAUUGUGUUCUUUCGGUAGUGGUAGGUCUCGUUGGUUUUUUGUGUUCCUCAUUGCCUUACAUUGAUGUCUGCACAUUUGAAGAAGUAGGGACUUACACUCCAGUCUUUGCAGACUGGCUUUGUCUGGGAAAGCCCUUCACCAGUCAGCCCAUCCAGAGAUUCUGGAAAGGCGGUCUGGCAUGUUCCAUGGGCAGGCUGGCCUAGUGCCUGUGUUUUUAAGGGAUGAUCAGAGGAAUGAGAGACAAACUACUGCCUGGGCUGGCAGGAGGGUAGCCAGGGAUGAUUUCACAGAGGUGCUGAUGUUUAAGCUGGACUUUGAAAAACGAGGAGGUGCCCGUGUGAAGAAGGAGGUGACGGCAGUAAGGGUGGCAUUUAGUAGAAGGAACAGCACCAGCAGAAGUGCAGAGGUGCCAGUGUGGCAGCAUGUAGGCCAGUGUGGUGUAUGGGAGGAGUGCUGAAGGAGGCGGUGGGAAGUGUAUGCUGGGCUCAGUAUUUCAAAGGGAGCCUUGAAUGCCAUGCCAAGGAGUUAAAUCUUCACUUACAAACAGUAAGAAACUGCUUAACCUAAUAAGGUCAGGUAGUCAUUCAGCAAACACUGACUGCUCACUAUGUGCCUAGUAUUUAAUAAGGGCUACAGAAGUGGGAGUUGCGGUCUCGGUCUCAGUAAUGUAAGACUCUGCUUGUGAGAAUAAGAUAAACUAAAAGUGCUUGCUCAUAAUGUAAGGCUUCAAGUCUAUAAGACCGAAUGAGUAGAGUAGAUGCAGCUAAAGGUCAGGAAGGCUUCCUGGAGGAAGUGGCACUAGAGCUUGGGCAACAGAAGAAGAGACUUAGGGAGUUGACAGGGAGGCCAUUCUAGGUUCAGUGUUACUAGAGUGUUAGAAGGGUCUUAGAGAACUUUUUAAAUUGGAAAAUUGAAAUCCCAAGUGGGCAAGCAAGAGCUCCAGCCUAGCACUCCCUUUUCUCUCUCACGUAGCAUGAGGGAGAGUGGAAAGGUAGGAGUGGGUGGGAAAGUGUUGCACCCAGCCUUUCCACCCCAAACCUCGUACUGCUUUCCUGAGGUUGGUGGUGACCAGGAUGUAUCAUUUUAGGUCAUGUCGAAAGUAAUGGAGAUGUUCCAGCCUAGUGCGGUGGUCUUACAGUGUGGCUCCGACUCCCUAUCUGGGGAUCGGUUAGGUUGCUUCAAUCUAACUAUCAAAGGGCACGCCAAGUGUGUGGAAUUUGUCAAGAGCUUUAACCUGCCUAUGCUGAUGCUGGGAGGCGGUGGUUACACCAUUCGUAAUGUUGCCCGGUGCUGGACGUACGAGACAGCUGUGGCCCUGGAUACGGAGAUCCCUAAUGAGCUUCCAUACAACGACUACUUUGAAUAUUUUGGACCAGAUUUCAAGCUCCACAUCAGUCCUUCCAACAUGACCAACCAGAACACGAAUGAGUACCUGGAGAAGAUCAAACAGCGACUGUUUGAGAACCUUAGAAUGCUGCCGCACGCACCCGGGGUCCAAAUGCAGGCGAUUCCUGAGGACGCCAUCCCUGAGGAGAGUGGCGAUGAGGACGAAGAAGACCCUGACAAGCGCAUCUCGAUCUGCUCCUCUGACAAACGAAUUGCCUGUGAGGAAGAGUUCUCCGAUUCUGAAGAGGAGGGAGAAGGGGGCCGCAAGAACUCUUCCAACUUCAAAAAAGCCAAGAGAGUCAAAACAGAGGAUGAAAAAGAGAAAGACCCAGAGGAGAAGAAAGAACUCACAGAAGAGGAGAAAACCAAGGACGAGAAGCCAGAAGCCAAAGGGGUCAAGGAGGAGGUCAAGUUGGCCUGAAUGGACCUCUCCAGCUCUGGCUUCCUGCCGAGUCCCUCACGUUUCUUCCCCAACCCCUCAGAUUUUAUAUUUUCUAUUUCUCUGUGUAUUUAUAUAAAAAUUUAUUAAAUAUAAAUAUCCCCAGGGACAGAAAUCAAGGCCCUGAGCCCAGGGCAGCUGUGCUGGGUGAGCUCUUCCAGGAGCUGCCUUGCCACCCAUUCUUCCCGAGUUCUUAACUUUGAACCAUAAAGGGUGCCAGGUCUGGGUGAAAGGGAUACUUUUAUGCAGCCAUAAGACAAAAUCCUGAAAUGCCAAGUGCCUGCUUAGUAGCUUUGGAAAGGUGCCCUUAUUGAACAUUCUAGAAGGGGUGGCUGGGUCUUCAAGGAUCUCCUGUUCUUUUCAGGCUCCUGAGGUAACAUCAGCCAUUUUUAGAUUGGUUCUGUUUUCGUACCUUCCCACUGGCCUCAAGUGAGCCAAGAAACACUGCCUGCCCUCUGUCUUCUAAUUCUGCAGGUGGAGGUUGCUAGUCUAGUUUCCUUUUUGAGAUACUAUUUUCAUUUUUGUGAGCCUCUUUGUAAUAAAAUGGUACAUUUCUAUAUCCUCCUGA
RNAcentral lists this small RNA (2409 nucleotides) under Pongo abelii (Sumatran orangutan). Its description in RNAcentral is "retained intron". Lineage: Eukaryota; Metazoa; Chordata; Mammalia; Primates; Hominidae. The record is from RNAcentral.